UACGGGGGGAGCAAGCGUUGUUCGGAUUUACUGGGCGUAAAGGGCGCGUAGGCGGCGCAACAAGUCACUUGUGAAAUCUCCGGGCUUAACUCGGAGCGGUCAAGUGAUACUGUCGUGCUAGAGUGCGGAAGGGGCUACUGGAAUUCUCGGUGUAGCGGUGAAAUGCGUAGAUAUCGAGAGGAACACCUGCGGCGAAGGCGGGUAGCUGGGCCGACACUGACGCUGAGGCGCGAAAGCCAGGGGAGCGAACGGG
RNAcentral lists this ribosomal RNA (253 nucleotides) under uncultured bacterium. RNAcentral's name for it is "partial 16S ribosomal RNA". It matches the Rfam family "Bacterial small subunit ribosomal RNA", at positions 524 to 776 of the family's 1533-position model. The record is from RNAcentral.